Molecule: ribosomal RNA, 58 nt
Filed under: Scheffersomyces stipitis
Lineage: Eukaryota; Fungi; Ascomycota; Pichiomycetes; Serinales; Debaryomycetaceae
Also listed under: 47 other names
Description: partial 26S ribosomal RNA
Rfam family: Eukaryotic large subunit ribosomal RNA
Source: RNAcentral
UUGACCUCAAAUCAGGUAGGAUUACCCGCUGAACUUAAGCAUAUCAAUAAGCGGAGGA